This is a long non-coding RNA of Triticum aestivum (bread wheat), 396 nucleotides long. RefSeq lists it as uncharacterized. The record is from RefSeq and is a predicted model, not a curated record. The transcript has 2 exons. NCBI's taxonomy places the organism in Eukaryota, Viridiplantae, Streptophyta, Magnoliopsida, Poales, Poaceae.
UGUGCAAAACUGAAGUAGUUUUCUCCUUAGUCCUGACCAUGGCAGUCAUCAAGAGCAAUCGUACGGAUGCCAUGGGUUGUUCAAUCUGCGUUCUUAUUAUGAUCAUGUCUUCCACUUUGAUCUUACCAACCUCUUGCUAUGAACUUGAUCGUCACGAGAAGUGCAUGCCUACUCAAGUCUGCCAUUGGAAUGUCUGCAAGAUCAUGUGCAGAUACACCGGCAAUCCUUGGAUUGGGGCCUACUGCAAGAUGAAACCAGGCGAUGUGAAACUGUGUUGUUGUGUUUAUUCCUGAAUCUCUAGCGAUGCUAGUUGUUGUUUGGGGCAUUAAUAUUGCCGUUUCCUAUAUCCACCCGCUUGGGAUGCAUUCUCAAUAAAAUAGUUUUUUAGCGACUCAA